UCUUUGCUAGGAACUGCAAGUGGUUUUUUAAACUACUUGCAGUUCCUGGCAAAGA
This 55-nucleotide microRNA precursor is filed under the name Podarcis lilfordi (Lilford's wall lizard). The record is from RNAcentral. Lineage: Eukaryota; Metazoa; Chordata; Lepidosauria; Squamata; Lacertidae.